Molecule: ribosomal RNA, 441 nt
Filed under: Cybaeolus cf. rastellus MR290
Lineage: Eukaryota; Metazoa; Arthropoda; Arachnida; Araneae; Hahniidae
Description: partial 16S ribosomal RNA
Source: RNAcentral
UUCUAAUAGAAUUAAUUAUUAGUAAAAUCUGCUCAAUGAAAUUUAAAUAGCCGCAACUAUGUUGUGCUAAGGUAGCAUAAUCAUUUGUCUUUUAAUUAAAGACUAGAACGAAAGAUUUCACAUUUUUGUAUCUAUAAUUUAAAUAAUAUUUUUAAAUUAUUUUAAGAAUAAAAAAAUUCUUAUAAAAAAAAUAGACGAUAAGACCCUACUGAACUUAACUUUAGUUUAACUGGGGAAGUUAAUUAAUUAUUAUUUUAAUAUAAAAUAUAACAUAAUUGACCUAAUAUAAUUAAAUAAAUGAUCAAGUUACCAUAGGGAUAACAGCGUAAUAAUCUUUAAAAGAUCUUAUUAAAAAGAUUGAUUGCGACCUCGAUGUUGAAUAAUUAUCUAUUAAAUGCAACCAUUUAAUAAGAAAGUCUGUUCGACUUUUAAAAUAUUACA